CAGAGCAAUACCUUGUCCCCCUGCUUCCAGGGGUUCCAUCUCACAAAACUAUGAACAGUAUCACAGCCAGGCUCUCCCACCACGACGGUCCACCAAGCUCCCCGGGGUCAUCCCAUGACACACGCGCAGUGUGUGCCCACCGCAGCUGAGGCAAUCCAACCACAGGCUCCCUCCGGCUGUCUCCUUCCCCCAUCCUUAACCCCUAGCAACCACGAAUCUGUGUUCCAUCUCUUUAAUUUUUGUCUUUAGAGAAUGCUGUAUAAAAAAAAAAUCAUACGGCAUGUGAUCUUUCAGCUCGGCCUUUUUUCACUCCGUAUAAUUCCUUCUGGGUUCACCCGCGUUAUCAGUGAGCGGGGCCUUUUUUCCACUCCGUGUAAUUCCUUCUGGGUUCACCCGCGUUAUCAGUGAGCGGAGUCUUUUUUCCACUCUGUGUAAUUCCUUCUGGGUUCACCCGCCUUACCAGUGAGCAGGGUCUUUUUUCACUCCGUGUAAUUCCUUCCAGGUUCACCCGCGUUAUCAGUGAGCGGAGCCUUUUUUCACUCCGUAUAAUUCCUUCCAGGUUCAUUCGUGUUAUCAGUGAGUGGUGCCUUUUUUCACUCCGUAUAAUUCCUUCCAGGUUCACCAGUGUUAUCAGUGAGUGGUAUUCCAAGCAAAUACUUUUCGGGCAACCACUACUUACAAUCAUUCUGCACGGCUGGCAAAGCUGUUUCUAAGCCACAUUCAGUAUCGUUCUUUCAUUUAAGGAGGUGGCAAAAGAAUCUUCAUCUGAACAGACGCCAUGCAGUUCAGCAUCAGACCAGGGAGAAGGCCUGCCUGAGGGCCGGGACUGUGUUGUGCCUGUCUGAUCAAGUCAGCAGUCCUGAAAAUCCACACAAACCAACUCCCGCCGAAACCACAGCAGAGGGCCCAGGGGAAACCCAGAAUAGGUUCUCACAAGAAAGAUUAUUUGGCUCAGUAAACAAUUAUCCUCUAACGCAAAUUUAACAGACAUUAUUUUCUCCAAGCAAACUAUAGUUCAACCCAAAACAGAAUAAACAUAAAACAAUCACUUGGCCGGGCGUGGUGGCUCACGCCUAUAAUCCCAGCACUUUGGGAGGCCGAGGUGGGCAGACCACAACGUCAGGAGAUCGAGAUCAUCCUAGCUCACAUGGUGAAACUCCGUCUCUACUAAAAACACAAAAAAUUAGCCGGGCAUGGUUGCGGGCACCUUUAGUCCCAGUUACUCGGGAGGCUGAGGCAGGAGAACUGCUUGAACCCACGAGGUGGAGUUUGCAAUGAGCCGAGAUCGUGGCAUUGCACUCCAACUUCGGCAACAAGAGCGAAGCUCCAUCUCAAAAAAAAAAAAAAAAAAAAGACGACGACAAUUACUCAGAUGCAGGAGAGACACGCAUGUCAGCUACACGCAGCCUCAUCCAUAAGCAGAUGCAGGGCCCAGGAGAGCAAAGGGCAUGGUGACUGCCUGCCCUUCCUCACGCCAGGGCACCUGCCAAUGCAGCAACGACUAGGAUUUCACUGGACAAGCACCUACCACAUGCCAGGAGUGAUAACCAGGAAGCUGCCAUGGCUUUGCCUUGCCAUGGCAACGGAGGCUGCCAUGCCAUUCCUUCCAGGAACCAUGACAACGGAGGCUGCCAUGCCAUUCCUUCCAGGAAUCAGAGUUAUUAGUGGGGCACACGUCCCUGGUUAACCGUAACACAACACACAAGGCUGAAUGCAGAAUCCGCACAGGCCACACAAUUCUUCCCUCUUCUAUGACAGGUGACCCUUCAGCAACACAGGAGUGAGCUAUGUAUGAUCACGGACACGUGGAUUUUCUUCCACCCCUGCUACCCAAGACAACAAGACCAGCCCCUCGUCCUCCUCCUCAGCCCACUCAAGGUGAAGGCCAUGAGGAUGAAGCUCUUUAUGGUGAUCCGCUUCCACUGCAUAAAUAGGAAAUAUAUUUUCUCUUACGACUUUUUUCUUUUUUCUUUUUUUUUGAGACAAGAGUCUCGCCGUCGCUUUUUUCUUUCUUAAUUUUUUUUUUUGAGACAGAGUCUUGCUGUGUCGCCCAGGCUGGAGUGCAGUGGCGCGAUCUCGGCUCACUGCAAGCUUCGCCUCUUGGGUUCACGCCAUUCUCCUGCCUCAGCCUCCCGACUAGCUGGGGUUACAGGUGCCCACCACCACGCCUAAUUUUUUUUUUUUUUUGUAUUUUUAGUAGAGACAGGG
Molecule: long non-coding RNA, 2208 nt
Filed under: Homo sapiens (human)
Lineage: Eukaryota; Metazoa; Chordata; Mammalia; Primates; Hominidae
Description: HSALNT0387840
Source: RNAcentral